This 585-nucleotide ribosomal RNA is filed under the name Hydrobioides sp. BS-2022. RNAcentral describes it as "SSU rRNA". It matches the Rfam family "Eukaryotic small subunit ribosomal RNA", at positions 39 to 540 of the family's 1831-position model. Lineage: Eukaryota; Metazoa; Mollusca; Gastropoda; Littorinimorpha; Bithyniidae. The record is from RNAcentral.
AAAGAUUAAGCCAUGCAUGUGCAAGUUCAGACCCUCGCACGGUGAAACCGCGAAUGGCUCAUUAAAUCAGUCGAGGUUCCUUAGAUGAUCCAAAUCUACUUGGAUAACUGUGGUAAUUCUAGAGCUAAUACAUGCCCACCAGCUCCGACCGGGGCCGUCUCUUCCGGGCCCCACAAAGGCUUCGGGGGGGCGGUCUCGGAAAGAGCGCUUUUAUUAGUUCCAAACCAGUCGGCUCGCGGCCCUCCGGUCCCCAAAAGGCCGCGGGGGUCCGGCCGUCCCUCUGCUGGUGACUCUGGAUAACUUUGUGCCGAUCGCACGGCCUCCGCGCCGGCGACGCAUCUUUCAAAUGUCUGCCCUAUCAAAUGACGAUGGUACGUGAUCGGCCUACCAUGUUGGCCACGGGUAGCGGGGAAUCGGGGUUCGAUUCCGGAGAGGGAGCCUGAGAAACGGCUACCACAUCCAAGGAAGGCAGCAGGCGCGCAACUUACCCACUCCUGGCCCGGGGAGGUAGUGACGAAAAAUAACAAGGCGGGACUCUUUCGAGGCUCCGUCAUUGGAAUGAGCACACUCUAAACCCUUGCACGA